This 489-nucleotide ribosomal RNA is filed under the name uncultured bacterium. RNAcentral's name for it is "partial 16S ribosomal RNA". It matches the Rfam family "Bacterial small subunit ribosomal RNA", at positions 29 to 506 of the family's 1533-position model. The record is from RNAcentral.
AAUGAACGCUGGCGGCAUGCCUUACACAUGCAAGUCGAACGGCAGCAUGACCUAGCUUGCUAGUUUGAUGGCGAGUGGCGAACGGGUGAGUAAUGCAUCGGAACGUGCCUUUUAGUGGGGGAUAACGUAGCGAAAGUUACGCUAAUACCGCAUAUUCUCUGAGGAGGAAAGCAGGGGACCUUCGGGCCUUGCGCUAGAAGAGCGGCCGAUGUCGGAUUAGCUAGUUGGUGGGGUAAAGGCUCACCAAGGCAACGAUCCGUAGCGGGUCUGAGAGGAUGAUGCGCCACACUGGGACUGAGACACGGCCCAGGCACCUAGGGGAGGCAGCGGUGGGGAAGUUUGGAAAAUGGGCGCAAGCCUGAACCAGCCAUGCCGCGUGAGUGAAGAAGGCCUUCGGGUUGUAAAGCUCUUUCGGCUGGGAAGAAAUCGCACCCUCUAAUACAGGGUGUGGAUGACGGUACCAGCAUAAGAAGCACCGGCUAACUACGU